AAAUUUUGGAAUAUUUUUUUUCCUAAUCUGUUUCUGAUUUUGCUGAACACUUCUGAGGUAACCUGAGACACUUGUGAGAUAAACUCAGCUCUCCAUGUCUCCGCUUCUGUAUUUGGUCUCCAUUUGAUUUUGAUUUAAUUAAAAAAAAAUUCCGUUUAGCCACCCAACGCAUCCUGUGGCCGCCAUGAACGUUUUCAUUCAAAAGAAACGCGUGCUGUUUCUUCUUUUGUGCUCCACUGAAAAACACACCAGCGUGAAGGCGAGUAAAUAAAGAUUUCCCACUUCUGCAUGAACUUUUUCCUGUAAAGAUAUUUCUCUCCUACAGGCUUAAUGCACCUACAGAAGAGCGAUCCGCAGCACUUGGCAGCGCCGAGGCUGUUUGUGGAAACGCUUUAGCGGGUUAAACAGCAGUAACUUUGACAGAAAAGAUCCAGCCGCUUGCUCGCAGGAGUACCGCUUCUGGGAAUAAAAAGCUUUAAGCAACACCGAUCUAGACUUCCUUCAGAAACAGUUCGCUCAAAGGUUUCUCUCAGACACGGAUCUUACACACAGCUGGGUUGCACAGUUGGCAAACGCCUGUGUGUGUGUGUGUGUGUGUGUGUGUGUUUUCACCUCGCUCUAUCUUUGCCCACAGGAAUGCCGAUAUCACCGGUGCUGUCAGACUCAGUGUUUCCGGGUCUGGAGGCUAUACCCAGCUAUGCGCGUGUGCGAUUCGUUGGCAUUGCCAUGACAACAACCUUCGACUGGAUCCAUCAAACCUAGUUGUGAUGUUUGCGUCUACACGGGCCAGAAGUCAGGAGCGGCUCCCGCUUUAGCGGCGUUUUGGGUGAGUUUCUGAGGGGAAACUCUAGCAAUGUCACCUACUCCGAGCUACACGCACAGCGGCUAAUCCUGGGCCUGCAUCCAGAGACUCUUGGUGAAUAUUAAACACUGAAGAUGUGUUUGACUGACGUCUGAACCCCUGCAGCUUCUCUACUACACUAGAACAACAGGUGAAGGUGUUGGAUCAGCUCCCUGUGCUUACUUCAGAGGUUUAUCCCUCAGGGCCGCUGCUGAUGCGAGCAACUGUCUCCACGGUGACAGACGCCAAAGAUAAAGCAAGGCAGGCUUUGCUGAAGCCAUCAAAGGUUGGCAGCCGCCUCGAUACUACGAUUCCUCCCAACAUGAGCACAUCCACGCACACGUGACAGAAUCCAAGUCUGAUCUUCUUUCUUCUCGUUUUGCUCUUGGUCUCUUGAAGUCUUCGCUAUAUGAACAACACAUGCACAUCAUCCCAACAUCACGCCUACUCUAUGGAUGAGACAUGACUUCUUUAAGGAAGAGUUCAUCUAAAAAAUUCUGUCAGUAUUUACUCACUCUCAUGUUGUUCUGAACUAAUAUGACUUUCUUUCUUCCCAAAAUGGAAUCUUCAGAGGGAUAUUCACGCUGCCUUUUUUUAUAAGACUAAAUCAUACAGUCACUUGGAGCUCCAAAGUGACAAAAACACCAAAAAGUAACCAUAAAAGUACUCUAUACAACUACAAAUCACACGAUAGCUUUGCGUAAAAACAGACGUGAAUUUAAGUCACGACUCAAUAAAAAAAACACAUUUAGAUUCAGCCUUGGCAAGGUUUUAGCAGUUAAAGGAACACUUCACUUUUUUUUGGAAAUGGGCUCAUUGUCCAGCUCCCCCAGGGUUAAUACGUUC
Molecule: long non-coding RNA, 1687 nt
Organism: Puntigrus tetrazona (Sumatra barb)
Lineage: Eukaryota; Metazoa; Chordata; Actinopteri; Cypriniformes; Cyprinidae
Exons: 3
Source: RefSeq, a predicted model, not a curated record